CCCUACGGGGCGCAGCAGGCGCGAAAACUCCGCAAUGCUCGAAGGAGUGACGGGGAGAUUCCAAGUGCCUACGCUUAGCGUAGGCUGUUCAGAUGCCUAAAAAGCAUUUGGAGUAAGGACUGGGUAAGACGGGUGCCAGCCGCCGCGGUAAUACCCGCAGUUCGAGUGGUAGUCGAUUUUAUUGGGCCUAAAGCGUCCGUAUCCGGUCUGGUAAAUGCCUGGGUAAAUCGUUUGGCUCAACCACACGAAUUCCGGGUAGACUGUCAGACUUGGGACCGGUUGGGGGAGAGGGUACUUCAGGGGUAGGAGUGAAAUCCUGUAAUCCUUGAAGGACCACCAGUGGCGAAGGCGCUCUUCCAGGACGGGUCCGACGGUGAGGGACGAAAGCCAGGGGAGCGAACCGGAUUAGAUACCCGGGUAGUCCUGGCCGUAAACGAUGUGGGCUUUGCAUUGGGGGUUCUACGAGGGCGCCCAGUGCAGAAGCGAAGGCGUUAAGCCCACCGCCUGGGAAGUAUGGUCGCAAGGCUGAAACUUAAAGGAAUUGGCGGGGGAGCAC
RNAcentral lists this ribosomal RNA (556 nucleotides) under uncultured archaeon. Its description in RNAcentral is "bacterial SSU rRNA". It matches the Rfam family "Archaeal small subunit ribosomal RNA", at positions 321 to 879 of the family's 1478-position model. The record is from RNAcentral.